RNAcentral lists this ribosomal RNA (460 nucleotides) under uncultured bacterium. Its description in RNAcentral is "partial 16S ribosomal RNA". It matches the Rfam family "Bacterial small subunit ribosomal RNA", at positions 338 to 795 of the family's 1533-position model. The record is from RNAcentral.
CCUACGGGGCGCAGCAGUGAGGAAUAUUGGUCAAUGGACGCAAGUCUGAACCAGCCAUGCCGCGUGCAGGAAGACGGCUCUAUGAGUUGUAAACUGCUUUUGUACGAGGGUAAACGCAGAUACGCGUAUCUGUCUGAAAGUAUCGUACGAAUAAGGAUCGGCUAACUCCGUGCCAGCAGCCGCGGUAAUACGGAGGAUUCAAGCGUUAUCCGGAUUUAUUGGGUUUAAAGGGUGCGUAGGCGGUCGGAUAAGUUAGAGGUGAAAUCCCGAGGCUCAACUUCGGAAUUGCCUCUGAUACUGUUCGGCGAGAGAGUAGUUGCGGUAGGCGGAAUGUAUGGUGGAGCGGUGAAAUGCUUAGAGAUCAUACAGAACACCGAUUGCGAAGGCAGCUUACCAAGCUACUUCUGACGUUGAGGCACGAAAGCGUGGGGAGCAAACAGGAUUAGAUACCCCAGUAGUC